This 253-nucleotide ribosomal RNA is filed under the name uncultured bacterium. RNAcentral describes it as "partial 16S ribosomal RNA". It matches the Rfam family "Bacterial small subunit ribosomal RNA", at positions 524 to 776 of the family's 1533-position model. The record is from RNAcentral.
UACGUAGGCAGCAAGCGUUGUUCGGAUUUACUGGGCGUAAAGAGUGUGUAGGCGGUUCUCUAAGUUCCGUGUGAAAUCUCCCGGCUCAACUGGGAGGGUGCGCGGAAAACUGGAGGGCUUGAGUAUGGGAGAGGAAAGCGGAAUUCCUGGUGUAGCGGUGAAAUGCGCAGAUAUCAGGAGGAACACCGGUGGCGAAGGCGGCUAUCUGGACAGAAACUGACGCUGAGGCGCGAAAGCUAGGGGAGCAAACAGG